Molecule: long non-coding RNA, 677 nt
Organism: Lotus japonicus
Lineage: Eukaryota; Viridiplantae; Streptophyta; Magnoliopsida; Fabales; Fabaceae
Exons: 3
Source: RefSeq, a predicted model, not a curated record
AAAUCAAAUUUUCUUUCUCAUUUUCUCCUCUUGGCCGUGGGUUCCUCGAGAGAAAGAAAGGGAGAAGAAUUUGCUCACAACUUGCUCAUUCCUUGCUCAAAUCUUGUGAUUCUUGAGGGCUUUGAAAGGUUUGGAUCGUGUUGAGCUAAGGAAGGAAGAUUCAGAACAAGCUGUGAAGUUUCAGGAUAGAGGAGAAUAACCCAAGGCCCUAAUAGGUGUUGCUGUGAGUAGCUGUUGAUCGCUGCCAGGAGGUGAUUGGAUUGUUUUACGGGAAGACUUCUUGUAGUGAGUAGAUUAAACGAAGACUGAUAGAAGUAAUAGUUAGAUGUAAGGUUAGAGCCUUGGGUAGAGAAGCUUACUGUUACUGGUUAAAGCAUAUAGGGAUGGUUGUAUAACUUACUUUGGUUUUGGGUAGGUUCUGAUGCAUUGCUCUUCUGCAACUCUCCGGUGCGGGGAUUGUAGGAAGUAUAUUGGACUUAGGGUGUUAUCGCAUUCUGAACCUUGUUGUCUGUUAAGGCAUUACGUUAUUGUAUAUUACAUGUAUUGAAAAUCCGUCGUCACUCACGAGUGCUUGCCUUGUUAAGGCCGGAUGUAUGGGUUUGGGCAAGUAUAUGCAUAUCAGGUUUUGGAAAUGUUUUAGAAAACAAAUGAAAAAAAAAUAGACCCUUAUUUGUAAA